UAGAAAUAUGCACUCUUCCUCAAUUUUCACAGCGCAACACAUUCUUUUCAGCUAACAAGUACAGUUCUUUUAUACACAACAAUGGUAAGACAACAUCUUCCCGCCGAUCACCACUCAGCAAUGUAGUACUGUAUGAAAUAUCGAGCACUUGUGCUUGCUAGAGUGAUAAACCGAACCUUUUCAGUUUAGUUGAUAGAUCAAAUACACCAAUGUGCCGGAAUAGCUACAGAAACGAACGCCAGAUAUGUGUGUGUGUGUGUGUGUGUGUGUGUGUGUGUGUGUGUGUGUGUGUGUGUAGCACAAAAUAGCAAGAUGAUAGCUUGCGCAAGUCUAACGGUCCCUCCGGUAACUUAACCUACUAGCACACAGCCUCAUGGCUUGAUGCUCAAAGCAGAAGAGUUGCACAUGCCACUACCAGCAGAAUGCAGGUGCUUACAGCCGUCUUGUGAGCAGCAGAAGGCGAUGAACCAGGAG
Molecule: long non-coding RNA, 474 nt
Filed under: Triticum aestivum (bread wheat)
Lineage: Eukaryota; Viridiplantae; Streptophyta; Magnoliopsida; Poales; Poaceae
Description: long non-coding RNA (TAES_LNC015984)
Source: RNAcentral